UUUGUAAUACACUGUACAGUGUAAUACUGUAGUCUCGGAGGGCUUCAGAGAGACGCCCUUUCUAAUAGGCCCCCAAGGAAAAUAAAAAAAUAUUUUUAGAAAUUGCCAUUUAAUCAGGUUAACAAAAGCAGGAUGCUUUGGAAAGAAGGACAAAUUGCUAGUAUCUCCUCAGAGAGAAUCUGAGUGACUUCUAUUGCUGGUCCACUCACCUGAUGCUACAGCAGUGUUUGGUCAUUGCAUCCCUAGCUGGAAAGUACUGCUCUGUGUUUUCUGCUUCAGAGCUGGCAUGGUUUUUCAGGUUACAAUAGCUCAUCUUCAGAGCUUCUGGUGUGGGAUAGAUCAUAGCCAUGCUAAUUCUCUCCAGCUGUUUUUUCAGCAUGAGAAGCUUUGGUAGUCACAUUUGGGAAGCUUCUCUGAAAAUAGCUCAAAGAGUGGAUUGAUGACAAGACAUAAUUUUUCCUCCAGUUGUUCAGGAACUGAUCUGCAAUAUUUACUCAGCUUAGACUUAUACUUCAUUAAGACAGAAAAAUGUCCAUGGAAGAUUUACUUUUGUUUUGGUCGGUAUUAGUAUUUGUAAAUUGUUUCCAUUGCAUUAUGUGCUUCCUCCAUAUUCCUCUCAAAAACUUCUAUUAUUUUGUUGGAGCAGAUGCUUUUAUGUUUCUAAAAGAUUUUAAGAUGACUAGGUUAGAUUCAGCAUAACUGUUUUGCUUAAAUAGCAAAUUUCCCAGACCUACAGCUGAGGGUGAGGCGUGUUGCCAGAGCCCGCGCUGCAACAUUCAUCUGCGAUUCCUGUUUAAAAAGUAGCAGCUGUGUAGCUGUACGAGAAGUGAAAAUGUCUCUCAGUUCAGGAGUCAUCCAAGAACCAAUUGUAAAACAUGAUGAACCCACUGAAUUGGUAUUUGGGAGGAAAAAUGAGACUACUGUGAGAGCUGGCUUGUAUGUGGUGUUCUUUUUAACCUUAAGUACGUGCCUGAAAGAUUCUGAUUGAACAGCAGUAGGGCUUAGGUGUGUGUAGCUGAUGAAAUGGUGAAAUGGAGCCCAUAGUGCAUGACUACACAAAAGAUGUUUAGGCCUCUCAGUGAUAGUUGCCAUCACAGUAGCCAUGACUGAUGGUGAUCUAUUUCUAGGCCCUGGAAAAAGGGCAACAAGCUGGGGUCAGAGCCUGGGCUCCUUCCGAGGACCAAAUGAGGGAAACUUGAAGUUUGUGUCCUAGCAGCUUGCACAUAAUAUCCUUUAAAGCCAGGUUAAAUUAUCUGUCACCGUUAGGCGCGACACAGAAUUGUUCACAGCAGGACUGGAGAGGUUCCCCCUGUAUGUCAGUGUUCAGUGGCUUGGGAAACAGCUGCUUGCGCAGUGUCUGGUUUUGUGGUUGAACAGACAGCUCAAUUUCUGGCAUUGCUGCUUUAAGAUACAAAAAUUAUAACCAAGCUUCAAAGAAAUCUUGCAUAUGUGAAUGAGUCAGAAUUAUUUUUUCUUCUAUAAGCUGUUUAGUUUCUUGCAUUUUAUGUAGUGAAAACACUGCUUGAUCCUACUUGGUAUUACCACGUUAUGAGUGAAGGGACUUUUUUCACAACCUUUGGACUUCCUCACAUAGAACCACAUCAGCUAUAAUAAAUUUAGAGCCUUAAAAAUCUGUUGUUAUGAAGACUUUAAAAUAAAACUGUGCGGGCUGUGUCUGUUCAGUGGUAAGAAGCUAAAAUAAGACAAUGCUGAGAUCUGUUGGGCUCAAAAGAAAGUUCAGGUUUCCUGCCUUCGUGAUCUCCUUUCCAGAAGGAAAGCCUUGUGUUUCUCUCUCAGAAACCCAGGUCUAAUAAAGCACAGUUAUUGUGACCCAUCCAGUCUGACUUUGUACAUAGUCUAGCCCUUUGCAACGUCUCCUGCAUUAGCUAUAUUAAAUUGUAUUUGAACACAACUGUGUAUGGAAGGAUGUCCUGCCUUUGGUUUAUUUUUGACUUUGAGGGAUGUUCUUACCAUUCUGUUUUUACUUUUAGAAAAGAGGGUGGGUUCACUCUCAUUAGUGGAUGUAUAUAUCCUUUUAAACAUUGAAAAGAUUUAAGCAAAAGUUAUGAAAAAUAUCCUGAGAUGUUGUCCAGUACAAACAAGAUCAUCUCCUGUUCAAAAUGUUAAAUACUGCUGUUGCAAAUAAAUACAUGCUUAAAGGUGUGGGCAAGCUCAUCUGACACGUCUUUACUUGUAUAUCAAUGGAAAUUUAGUGUGGACUGAAGCAUCUUGCUUUUUAUGCUUUCUCAUCCACUGCCAAGAAUGUUUGGGUGGACCAAUUUAUGUGUGCUGCUUGCUGCUGCUGCUCUGUACUCUCUGCAUUGCAUACUUACUUCAUUGUUUUGGGGAAAAUUCCAAUUCUUUUAUCAAAGACUGUGAAAGCCAGAGAUAAUUCAAAUGGGACCAGAUGAACCAGUGCUUCAUUUUUUUUUGCUUAGACAUAAAAAAAAAUCUUGUUUCUUUUGUUUUGCACACUAUUUCAGCAUAUUUUGUUAUUAAUAAUAUCUCUGAGACUAUUGUUUAGGAGUCAGGCAUAUGUGUUAUCUCAUGCCUCCAAAUUAUGUUGCAGCAGUUCCAGAUGCACUGUUCUCAAAUGUACUGUACCCAGUAGAAAUGUGAAGUAUAGAGCUGUUUAAACUCUAGUGGUACAGUUGGUUUCAUCAACAUGAAGGCCUAGGAAGUUUUUUCUUGUAAUUGUUUUUAGCAAAAGUACUGUGUGCUGAUUUGGAACAUCAAAUAGUUUCUGUUGUUAGACCAUGUGAAAAAACCCUUCUAUGUGUGCAUAUAGUUGCAACUUUGUAGGUAAUUGGUGGUGCUGGAAAUGUCCUACAGAGAUACGGUUUUGAUCCCUUGGUCAUUGUAUUGAAGAGUGCACACCUGGCUCAGUUCUCACUGAAUCACUGCAGUGUUGAAGGUGAUGAAGAUGGAAAUCCCCAGGUAUGCUGUGAUGGUGGUGGAUUCCAAAGUGAAGGCUGCUCGAGGAUUCCCACAUGUGCAGGGCAUUUUCACCCCCUUAGCUUUUGUUCAGUGUUCAGGAUCCAAUGCUCUGAGUGACAAAAUCCCUGCUGUUACCACACAUGACCAUUUGUACCUCUGGUAUCCAAGUUAGUCCCAGGUGCAGUGAAACUUUACAGCUGCAUCUUCAGCCCUGCUGUGUCUGAUCUUUCUUUUUACUUUUCGUGGCAAAUAUGAAGUCACCUCCUUAAAGGCAGCAGAGUGCUGGGAACUCUAUCCUGCUCCUGGCAAUCAGAUUUCUUAAGAUUGUGGAAGGGAUAGAUUAGUUUAUUGCCUGCUGAAGUAUGAAUUUUACUGUAAGUCAGUAUGGAAUGACAUAGAAUCAUAGAACCAUAGGUUAGUUUGGGUUGGAAUGGGCCUUAAAGAUCAUCUAUUCCAACUCCCCUGUCAUGGACAGGGGCAACUUUCACUAGAUAAGGUUGCUCAAAGCCCCGUUCAACCUGACUUUGAACACUUCCAGGGCUGGGCAUCUUGCCCAUCCUGGGCAGUCUGUUUCAGUGGACAUCUCUUUCAUUUUCCAGGGUUGGGUAGGUCAAAGCAGCCUCAGUAAAUAAGAAUUUACAUGCUAAAUUUCUCAGAACUUAGCAGUCUUAGCAUGCUCUGUUUAGGGGGAGCAACCAGCACGGUGGGAUUGCAUCAUCCAGAUAAGGUUCUUAGGCUCUUUUGCAAUCUUUUCAUAACCGUUACAACCUGACUGCAGAGUUUGGCUGCUGCGUAGCACUAGAUUUAUGUCACUAAAGGGUAAAGUCUGUAUUUAUCACUCCUCACUUUUCAGAAGGCUCUGUGUUUUGUAUCAUCCAUUUUGUUCUGCUAGAUAUUAAGAGUACUUUUUUUGGGUCUGAUUUCUCAGUUCACUUUUUUUUACUGUUCACAAAAUUCGUUGUGCUCUUUAGUAAUUGUCUUCACGAAUUCUCAUUGCUAUGCUCAGUGGGUAAGCUAGGCUAAUGAGACCCUUUUUUUUUCAUUUGAGUGAGUUUUGCUAAUUGCUUUUAUCACACUGGAACCUGUAAGAGGGUUUUCUGUGGACAAAAUGACAACAAAAAAAUGAAGCGCUUUUGUUGGUAAGUCACCUGGCAAUUCCUCCUGGAUCUUCAACGUAGCUGUCAGCAAACAUGAGUGACUCCUUAACGCCCAGUGCCUCUAAUUGCCCUUGAUUUCCUCUCUGUUUUCCUUGUGUGGGAUUUCUCAAUUGAUGGGAUGUAACUUGAAAGCAGGUAGUGAUAGAGUGCAUCUCCAGUCAGCAGUAGAAAGAAUAAAAUAAUGAAAUUAGGAAGGUCAACAUGCAUCAGGAGCAGAAAUUUCAUCCAGCCUCCUGCCCUGUCCUGUGGUUGUGGCUGAUCCCUUGCCAUCUUAGUUCAUAACUUGUAUUGUUACUUCCUUUACAGCUCAGCUCAUGCUAGGACCCUGUCAUUUCUGCAGACUUAAGGGGUGAGGACUUCAACACUUGCCCUUUACAAAGGCUCUGUGCUUUCCCAAUUAUCAAUUUGUGUCCAUCUUCUUCCCCAAGUCUUGCCUACUGUACUGAACAUCAACCUAAGCACUCAUCUACCCCAGAAUUGUGUAAUUAUUUUCAGCAUGGGGCUAGCAUAAGGUUUUGUGAAAUUCCUAGGAAAGUAUAACUGAAUGAAUUUCAAGCUCAGAAAUGAGAUGGCAGCUAUUAGUUGAAUAUAUCUAAAAGGAGACAGCCUCCAUGAGUCUUGGGUUGACCUGUGCUCUAGCUUUUGAAGAAAAUUUACAUUGAACCUAAUAGAGUUUAUUAACCAGUACUUUUAAUUAUGUUUACAAAUUUCACUAGAUUUGUGUUAAAUCAAGAUAUAUUUGGAUUAUUUUUUUUUGUCUUGCUUGAAGUUUCCCCUGGAGCUCUGCUAUAGUCCUUUAUUAUCUUUGACUUUGUUGAGAGUAGCUUGAAAGCUUCUUUCCUUUUCUGCCAUACCUGCCUUCUGCAGGACUCCUUGCUUCACCCAGAGAAGGGAUUAGAGCCAUUGCUAUUCUCUUCAUUUAUAUAAUUCUGUCAUUGCCUUGACAUCAGCGUAAUCUUCUUGACUGGCUGAUCAAACUGAUUUUCAACAGUUUUAGACAGAGUAAAAAAUUAGUGCAUUUAGGUCUUCCUUGAUUUUUCUGGCAGUUUUCUCUGUCAUUCAGUCUAGCAGUUUUUUCUUUAUCUCAAAUACCUUUUUUUUUCUGUGCUUAUCUUCUUUCUUAUAAAAUAACUACUACAGCCGGAAUUUUCUGACUUUCAGACCUUUAAUUCUUCUAAUCUUAUGUCAAAGCAGUUAACAAGUGAUAACAAACCCUUAUUAGACUUUGUAUUGUUGAGAUUUUUGCCUUACUUUAGACAUUUGAGAUUUUCCACAAAUUUCUGUAAACCCAGGAUUUUAUUUUAGAUAUUUGUUCACAGCAUAGAGCUUCAAUGGUAGCUGCAUCUUAAUCAUAUAGCCAAAUGAAAUUUCUUUUGCAAGUGGUGUGUGUAGAUUUAGCCUUUUUGUGGUUCAUAGCACAUCAGUAACAACUGGAAUACUAUUGCAGCAAGAAAAUCUGUUCAAAAUCACAGCAAAUCCUGCUGCUGUAGGCUUCUGAAAAGGCAGCAAUACUCUGGUUUGUGAUCCUGUUUGUAUCAUGAAACGGCUUUGGAUUUUGUUACAGAGGAAAGGUUUGCAUUUUUACUUUGCAGGAUGAAAAUACACAGUAGUUGAGGGUGCCUUUGGAAUAACUGCAGACUCUGGAUCUCUCAGUGACAUGUUAAAGACCAGCAAAAUCUUGCCAGCCUGGCUGCAUCAGAUGGGCUUGUGGUUUGUCCUCCUACCAGGGCUGUGCCUGCAGAAGCCUCUGGCACUGGCAGCAGAACCUGGGCGUAACAGGGGAUUGCUGUGCUAGCUCUUUCUGGUUGAGGAGCCACCUUUGUGUGUCUGCUUGAGACAUGUUUGUUCACAUGGAAUUUACUGAAGACUAGGGCAGACCAGGCCAUACAGGAAGGAGUGAAAGCCUUAAUGCUAGAGACAUGUAGCCUGGCCAUGCACGAGUUCUUUGCCUUUGCUGGACUUCACCAUCUCACCACCCUUACAAGUGGUGCCUUACCCCUCACCAUGUAAGGGAUAAUACUUGUGAGUUUAGUUAGGGUUCACAGACGUUCCCUUGCAUUCUUAUUCGUUGGAUUGCUGAAGUGAUGGUUCUUUUUAAGUCUUUGAAUAGUUUCUGGUUUUAGUGGGACUUGAGCUUCUAAGUGGAGCAGAGGCUCAAGUUUUUUGCAUUUUCACACUGAGGCAAAUGUGAAUUUCUAGUUUGAUGGUAUGAUACGGAAUGUACAGCAGUAUUUCCUCUCUUUAGUGGUACUACUUAUGGGGCAAAACUGUGGUUAUGCUUUGAACAGAAUUUCAAAGUUCAUAGAGGAGGAGACCACUUCUUGUUGGCAACUGAGGUUACUUAAUGAUAACACUUUCGCUUCCAUCUACAUACCCAUGCUGGAUGACAGCUUUCAAGGCUGAGGCUAGUACUAGGUUUCCUUUUAUAUGCAAUACCACAUACGUUUUAAUAUAUGGAUUGCAUGGAAUUUUAAUGGCCCUGAUCAUGAGGCAAACUUUUUUUCUCAUUCUUGAAAAUAUGAAACAGUGACUUGUUUCUCAAACUCCUGCCUGGGUCUGUAAUGUUACCAGCUGCCUGUGGCUAGACAGAGUUGGCACACUCACUUCUGCUAAACCCACCCCUUAUUUUUCUUUCUGUGAGUUUGUGCUUAAACACACUGGCUAACGAGUCUGAUCUGAUGUUUCCCAGUGGGAUACUAACUUUUUUUAAAGCAAUCUAAAGCUUGUUCCCCUUUCAUGAAAAAUAAUGGGGAGGUGUAAUUCUAUUCACUUACAUAGAACAAAAGUACUCUGAGUUGUUUAGAAGGCUGAAGUCUUUAGAGCCUUUUUGCAAUUGUAAACAGUAAGAUGCACAGUCAAGGACUUCUGUCUUCCAGCUGUGAACCAAUCAGAUGUGAAUUUUCUCUAAUCACAAUGAUUAAACUAAUAACAUAGUUGCUAAAUGUCACAUAGUGGCUUUUGAGCCACAAAAUUUUUCUGAUGUUAUAGCAUAUUUUUGUUUAUUUUGGGCAUCUAGAAAUGAAGAUAGAACUUCUUCAACAAAAUCCAUCCUGAGUUUGUGAGAACUUCUCAUGAGAAGUUCUUCAUGUAGCUUUCAGCUGAACAGAUUGCUACUAUCAAAUUUUUAAGAAUUUCUUAUGGUCACUUUAGUACAAUGUAGUUCCUUCUAGUAUGAACAAAAGUCUGUGGGUAGUAAAAAUAAUGGGCUUUUCCUGUUGUGAAAUGUGCCUGUGUUUCUGUGCACUUCUGUCCACAGAAACCAGCUGUGAGGGGAAAAGGAGGAUAGGCUGGCAGGGAUCCCAGUGUACUCACGGGUGUCAAUUACCAUUUGUUAUCAAUUCAGACACUUGAAAAUCUUUGUGUGAAACUGGAAGCGCAGUCCAACUUCUCUAAAGUGAGUUUGUUUCGUAUAAAUGUAUUGAAAUGUAUGUGUUUUCAGAGUUCACUUACAAUAUUCUGAGCUUGCAUUUUUCCUUUUUUUUUUCUUGAACCACAGAACAUGCUAUGGGAACCAAACUGUAACCAAUCUUUGGGGUUUUUUUCAGAUUUGUCAUUUGACUCCCCAGCAUGACUAUGGGGCUGCAGCUUUGAUUUGGCAGUUCUGGAAUGGUGCUGUUUGUGUGCUGUUUUGAUGAUCUCUGAAUUACGCCAUCUGUGGUGGACUGUACUGAUUCUUGGUACUUGAAGGUCAUCUUAACUUUGCUACUGCCGUGAUGCCACACUGGGACUCAAAUCACUUUUACUCCAACACUGAAAUAAAAAUGCUGAGUGUUCAUCACUAAAUUUCAUGGCAAAAUUCAGUUCAUUAUUGCACAGUCAUACAGUGCUGUCAGAAACUUUAACCUCUUUUUACAGGCUGGUUAGGCAAGACUUCACUGAGUAGUUAGUUUUGUCCACACGUGGGAUUUCACACUUUGUGUCAUCUGCCGUGUUUCUCAGCUUUGUGUGUGAGAGCACCUGAUGUACACAUCUCCAUAGAAAGCGUGGCUAGUUCCUCACCCUUGUGCUAAUGCCAGGGGUGCUGUGAGGAUCCAUUCUGGCUUUCAUGUCCUUUGCACUAUUUUGGACUGAUGGACUUUGCAGACUUCACUGAAGUUUCCCAUUGACAGCAGGGAUUUGGUGUAUGCUGGGUGCAUGUGGCUCCUGCAGAACAAGGAGUGCCUCUGUUGCUCAGCAGGGAGCAUCCUGUUGUAUAAGGAGGUUUUAUUUUUUUUUUUUUUCAGAGUAAUUCAAAACUUAUCAGGGUGAAACUUGUGUACAAGAUAGGAUUGCUUGGAUUUUUUCAUGGCUGAAAAGUAAUUGGCUCUCUCUUAAGCAGGAGUAACAGAAGAAGGUGAUACAGUAUUAGAAUGCAGUAAUUUCAUCUUGUCUUAUUAAAAGUGAUGACUGCAACAAUAAUUUAUACAUUUUUAAUCAGGAAAGAGUAUGGAAUAAAGACCUUCAGGCAACUUGUUUGUAAUUCCCCUAAAUGUACUCUGCCUCACAUAAAAUUACUGUAAGAAGUUGAUAAGUCUUUUUUGCUCCACAAAAUCAAAAUGAAAAUUGCUUUCCGUUUUUUCAACCUGGUUCUUCUGCCAGAUUUGUUAUGUUGGGAACAUGAUGUGGUGAAAAAGGCAUCUGUAACCUCAGGCUCUCAAGAAAAGGCCCAUGUUUUAUACAUUAUUCUCUUCUCUUAGAUGGAUACCUUCUAGGAAAUGUCUUUGUUAGUUGUUCUUUUUUUCCAGUACAGAAAUACUGCUUCAACAUGUUCUGUGCUGAAAUGUCAGCGUUGUGCUGUUGUGUAGGUGGUAGUAUGUAUUAUACACAGUUUUCAAAACCUGAAUAAUCAGUGAUGUGCAUGACUUUGCCAGGGAAAACAAAUGGCUGUGUCAUUUUGAUUUCGGUAUAUCAAGAAAAUGUAACCUAUAAAAGUUAAUUAGCAUUCUUCCAGAAGGGGGUUGUUUAACUAACAUCUUUAUUUCCAUGUUUUCAGUUUUGUCAGAAGUUGGAGGGGAGUGUUUUAUUCUGUUGCUAAUAUAUACCCAUAGAUUUACAGAGUAUUUCACGGAGUUUUAUCUACCAUGCAUCUGUCCUUCAUUUCAGCAAAAGGAUAGAUUUUUCACUCACUUGAACAACCACUUAAAUCCACUGAAAAAUUUUAUGCAGUCUUUCUUAUGAUUUUUUUGCAUAGUUUUUAUAAAUAAAAUUCCUUGAGACUGUUGGUGUUCAUGUUAUCUAUCAAAAGGAGGUUUUGCCAGUGAUUUUAACAGGAGAAAUCUUACAAUUUGUCAUUGGAAUCCUGACCAUCUGCAUCACUGGUCACUGCAAUGAGUUGAUGUAUCUCCACCUCUCAUGAAUUUGGUUCUCUGGUAGGCUCAGUUCUUCCCAUUAUCCUGGCUAUUACUGUCGUUGAAUGCACAAGAGUUUCUGGUCUGAAACAAAAGUGAAGUUUGGGCACCCAUGAUACUGAAUGAAGUACACUCACUUUAUUUUCCUGUAUAAUUCUGCAUUUCAUUACCCUUCCUCCACCACUUUAAAAACUAACUGAGAGAAGGUGUAGCUAUUUGCACACCAGCAUUACUUAACUGUGUGCUAAGAUAAGUUAUAAAAAUUUGAGAACAGAUUUCUCACACACUGCUUUGAUAAACUCUGUGUACACCUAAGGUCUUCCCAACAUUAAAAAUUCAAAGAUAAAAUUAUAUUAGUAGCUUUACAAAUAAUGUAAAAGUGGGGGUUUUAUUCUGGGUAUUACUUCUGGGUGUUAAUAUUUACAAAAAAGUGUUUUAAGAAAAAGAAGUUGACAAUUCUAAUUUUUAUUUUAAUGAGGCUCUUAUAGAAAACAUAAUCCUUAGAGAUCACGUUCUCAAGCCUGCUGAAGUACACUUGCUGUGUAUCAAAUUCUGCCUUAAGUGCUGAAGUAAAGAUAGUCUUAUGGCUAACUUGGCUUCUUUUCCACUGUUCUGUAAAUGCACACUUGAGACUUUAAUUUUGGAAUCAACUGUGAUCUUGUGUUACAAAACUAUGUAUUGAAAUAUUUGGAAAUAUUAAUGCAAAGCAUGGAUGGUGGCUGGAGCCUGUGCAGAGACUUCGGCAUCAUAACUGCUUGUGAAACCACCCCUCCUCCUUGCUUAACCAAGCCACAGGGAAUUGCAGCUCCCUAGGGUUGGCUGCAAAAGUGAUCAGGAGCAAAUAUUGGAAAGAUAGUGGGAUUUAUUAGUCCAAGUGACGGAGAACUGAACAAAUAGUGGCUGGGGGAGGGACUGGGGAGCAAAGGAAUUUGACAAUUAGCAGUGCAUAGAAGACUGAAUGGUGAAUAAAGUGCUGUUGUUUCUGCGUUGCUGUUUUUCAGAAGAGAUUUUUGUGUUGCCUUGUUAUGAUUAGGCCUAUUCUGAGCAUAGGGUGUUUGAUUUUGUCAUCUUUUUGAUUAUAAAUCUAAGACUCUGGGAGAGCAUCUACUCUGACCCUUUUCUAGAAAUGGGCCUUAACAUUUCACUUGGUGGUCCAACACCAUCAUAUCUUUAGAGAGUAUGCAUCUUCCAGACUAUCCCUGUGCUUUCCUGGAAGCCAGCUCCUUUUGUUCCUCAUCAUCUUGUUUAAAAUAUCAUGUUUAUAACAAGGAUUUGUUGUUUCCCUGUCACUGGUGGUUGCUAUGUGUUUCUCUAAGAUGAAAGCCUGCUCAGUUUAUUCAUUUGUUUGAAUUUUUGCAAGCUUCUUCAUUUACCUGUGUGGUGGUUGAUUCCCUUUCCCCUUUAGAGAUAGUGUCUUUGUAAGAGGUUUUUUUUUUUUUGGGCUAAAGUCCUUAUUGUUUAGGACUGAAUUCAAGCCCCCCUCUUGACUGAUAAUUAAUACCCUUCCCCAUAUUUCCAAGCCAGCAUGCUUUCAGAGAAAGUUUAGCUUUCCUUUUCUAUUUUUCACUGUUUCUAAUAUGCUUCCUCUAAUUUUUAGGCUUACCAACGGUUACCAUGUUUUGAAUUUGUUCCUGUGAGGGCUCCAAAUGCCCAUUUGCAAUAAACUAACUGACUCUGUAUCUGUGAGACAGUUACAGAGGAUUAUUAAGUGUGAAAGAGAAUACCCAUUAGAAGUAAACUGUGGAUAGUAUAACCUUUAAAGUAAGACUAUGUAUUUUAUGUAUUAUAUAUGUAGAAUAUCUCUUUCUGACCUUAGUUUUCAUUAGUAAAUGUUAUUUUCAGUUCUUUACUGACCAAGUUGUAUAGUUUUCCAACCUUUGGCACUUUGGCUAAUAAUAAUCCGAAUUCUCUUGAGGAAUUCUAAAUUUCAUUUGCAUUUUCUCUUUGUAAUUUUGCCCUCCUGGGUUACAACUGUUAGGCUUUCCUGUAACAUUUGGGAACUGUUCUUUAAAGUUGUUGACUUUGGAACUGUCCGUGUAGGUCGUAAUCCAGGACAUGCCUUCAGGAGCU
This is a non-coding RNA of Sturnus vulgaris (Common starling), 11491 nucleotides long. Lineage: Eukaryota; Metazoa; Chordata; Aves; Passeriformes; Sturnidae. The record is from RefSeq and is a predicted model, not a curated record.